Molecule: long non-coding RNA, 565 nt
Filed under: Junco hyemalis (dark-eyed junco)
Lineage: Eukaryota; Metazoa; Chordata; Aves; Passeriformes; Passerellidae
Description: lncRNA (ENSJHYG00000008477.1)
Source: RNAcentral
CCAGUGGCUGUCCCAGCUGUCGGGGCCGCCGGCGCGCCUGCUGUGCCCAGUGCUGAGCGAGCGGCGCGGCGGGACGGACGGGACGGGACGGGACGGGACGGGACAGCACAGCACAGCACGGACGGGACGGGACGGACGGGACAGCACGGACGGGACGGGCGGCCGCCCGGCGCCAGAAUGGUUGCCUGGGAAAAACAGCACUGCUGUGUUGGCAGAAUACAGGAUAUUUUCUUGAGAUUCAGGAUUGUUCAAGCAGUCCUUUUACUUCAGUUAUUCUUGGCUACAGCAAGCAAAGUUGAAACUACUGCCACACUGCCUAGCAGAAGAAUGACAGAUUCUGAAGAAUCAGCUGCAACAACAAGUUUUGAUAUGUCUUCAGAGGAGACUACACAAAGUACAGAAGCCCUUACAACAACAGAUUAUUACUACUCCACCAUCACACCAGCAGGAGAAACCAUUGUAUGCAACAUAACACGUGCCUGUAAUUAUUCAGGUUAGUGGUUUUCUUUUCCCUUUUUUUACAUAAAAUAUUAUCCAACUAUUUAAUACACUGAGUAAUGAAGCA